CCUACGGGAAGCAGCAGUGGGGGAUAUUGGACAAUGGGGGGAACCCUGAUCCAGCGACGCCGCGUGAGUGAAGAAGUAUUUCGGUAUGUAAAGCUCUGUCAGCAGGGAAGAAAGAAAUGACGGUACCUGACCAAGAAGCCCCGGCUAACUACGUGCCAGCAGCCGCGGGAAUACGUAGGGUGCAAGCGUUAUCCGGCAUUACUGGGUGUAAAGGGAGCGUAGACGGUUAAGUAAGUCUGGAGUGAAAGGCCGGGGCCCAACCCCGGGACUGCUCGGGAAACUAGUGAACUUGAGUGCAGGAGAGGUAAGCAGAAUUCCUAGUGUAGCGGUGAAAUGCGUAGAUAUCAGGAGGAACACCAGUGGCGAAGGCGGCUUACUGGACUGUAACUGACGUUGAGGCGCGAAAGCGUGGGGAGCAAACAGGAUUAGAUACCCUAGUAGUC
Molecule: ribosomal RNA, 443 nt
Filed under: uncultured bacterium
Lineage: Bacteria
Description: partial 16S ribosomal RNA
Rfam family: Bacterial small subunit ribosomal RNA
Source: RNAcentral